RNAcentral lists this ribosomal RNA (245 nucleotides) under uncultured Corynebacterium sp. Its description in RNAcentral is "partial 16S ribosomal RNA". It matches the Rfam family "Bacterial small subunit ribosomal RNA", at positions 796 to 1041 of the family's 1533-position model. Lineage: Bacteria; Bacillati; Actinomycetota; Actinomycetes; Mycobacteriales; Corynebacteriaceae. The record is from RNAcentral.
CAUGCCGUAAACGGUGGGCGCUAGGUGUAGGGGUCUUCCACGACUUCUGUGCCGUAGCUAACGCAUUAAGCGCCCCGCCUGGGGAGUACGGCCGCAAGGCUAAAACUCAAAGGAAUUGACGGGGGCCCGCACAAGCGGCGGAGCAUGUGGAUUAAUUCGAUGCAACGCGAAGAACCUUACCUGGGCUUGACAUACACCGGACCGGGCCAGAGAUGGUCCUUCCCUUGUGGCUGGUGUACAGGUGG